UAUAAUAAUAAGAAGAAGAAGGCAGAAAUGAAUUGAAAAUAAAGGAAGUAGUUAAAAUAUUAUCCAAUCUCACCAUUUAUUUAUUAUAAAAUAUUAGAUAGAUACAUAAUUAAUUAAGAGAUGGAUGAGGUUAUAAUGCCUCUUCAAAUGAUGUGGCAGUUUUAGAGUUGUUCAAAAAAUUAGAUAUGUGGGAAACUAAUUUGAUAGAAGAUAAGCAUCUCCAUGUGAGAUGUAUGACUCAUAUACUUAAUCUAAUUAUGCAAGAUGGUUUGAAAGAAAUUAGUCCUUCUAUCAAAGGGUGAGACAAAUGGUGAAAUAUGUUAGAUCAUCUUCUUCAAGGAUAAGAAAUUUCUUGAAAUGUGUUGAAAUACAAAAGAUAGAAUGUGAUAAGAUGUUGUCUUUAGAUGUGCCUACUAGGUGGAAUUCCACCUAUUUGAUGUUAGACACAACAGAAAAGUGUGAGAAGGCUUUUAGAGGUUUGAUCUUUAUGAUGGUAGUUUUAAUUCUUUUCUUGCUACUAAUGUUUGUGAAGAUGGAAGUAUCGCAGGGUCAAAAUAAUAUGAAGAUUGGGCUAAUGUGAGGAAUGUCACAAAGUUUCUUGAAAAAUUUUAUGAACUCACUUUGAAAGUUUCAGGUUCACGAUAUGUUACUUGUAAUGUUCAUUUUGAAGAUAUAUGUGAACUUGAUGCUUAUUUGAAAUUAUGUAUAGCAAGUGAUGACCUUGAUUUGAGUAAAAUGACUUUGGAAAUGAAAGAAAAAUUCAAGAAAUAUUGGGGUACUCCUGAAAGAAUGAACAAAAUAAUUUUUAUUGCUUAUGUUUUGAAUUCUCACAAUAAAUUUGUGUAUGUUAGUUUUGCUCUUGAAGAAUUAUUUGGGAAACAGGAAAUGUAGUGAAUACGAAAGUAGAGUCUUACUUGAGGGAUUUGUUUGCGAUAUAUGUAAGUAAGUAUGGAAAAGGUUCCAAAAGUCAACCAUCUUCAUCUGACUCAUCUGAUUCUUCUGCUUGUGGUAUUUCACAGAAUGUGUCCAAAAAUUCUUUGAGAACUAAGUUGCACAUGAAAAAACAAAAUAAUGAUUCUGGAAGUUUAGGUGUUAAAUCCGAGUUGGAUAAAUAUCUUCUUGAAGUCCAAGAACCUGAAUCUGAGAUUUUGAUAUUUUGAGUUGGUGGAAAGUUAAUUCUCCUAGAUUUUCUGUACUUUUACAGUUGGCUCGAGAUGUAUUGGUUAUUCCUAUAUCGAGUGUGGCAUCGGAGUGUGCAUUUAGCACUGGUGGUCGAAUUCUAGAUCCCUUUAGAAGUUCAUUGACUCUCAAAUGUGUGCAAUGUCUUAUUUGUGUCCAAGAUUGGCUUAGACAAGAAACCAAGCCUAUUUGUGUUGAAGAAAGUUUGGAGUUUCUUGAAAAAAUUGAACUUGAGAUGACAAAUAGUGGAAGAAACUCUUCCAUUGUUGAUCUAUGAUUGACUUGCAAGCGUUCCAAGGGUCAAGGCAAUGAAGAAAUAAUUUUGUUGACAUGGAAGAAAGUCAAGAAACUCAUUAUUGUUGUUUGUUAUUGUUGACAUUUGAAUUGAAAGUAAUCUCAUGGAAGAAGAUAAGAAGUUUAAAAUACAUUGUUUGUUGCUUAUUAUUGUUUUAUUAUGAGCUCAUGAAAGACUUUAAUGUUACUUGUUAGAUUGUUAUUAUGUUGUAUUUGUGAAGACAUUAACUACAAAUCUACAAUGCAAGUUUUGUUUUAGUGUCAUUGUUAAUUAAAAACAGUGUGUUUUAGUGAUAUUGUGAAUUUAAAAUUUGUGGUGUUAAUGCCUAAUGACAUAUUGACAUAUUGAUAUUUGGUAGUAAAUUAGUAAUGCACUUUUUUGAUGUAUUGUCUAUUUUUACUUUUUAGUCCAUUAAAUUGAAAAAUCAAACUAAUUAAAUUUUAGCUUACAACCCUGAAAUACUACUACUAAUAAUGAUAGUAAUAAUAAUAAUAAAACACUACUACGACAAGAAUCAUCAACCACAUACAUAAU
Solanum lycopersicum (tomato) is the source of this 2008-nucleotide long non-coding RNA. RefSeq lists it as uncharacterized. The record is from RefSeq and is a predicted model, not a curated record. Lineage: Eukaryota; Viridiplantae; Streptophyta; Magnoliopsida; Solanales; Solanaceae.